Molecule: ribosomal RNA, 891 nt
Filed under: Bolbitius titubans
Lineage: Eukaryota; Fungi; Basidiomycota; Agaricomycetes; Agaricales; Bolbitiaceae
Description: eukaryotic LSU rRNA
Rfam family: Eukaryotic large subunit ribosomal RNA
Source: RNAcentral
GAAACUAACAAGGAUUCCCCUAGUAACUGCGAGUGAAGCGGGAAAAGCUCAAAUUUAAAAUCUGGCAGUCUUUGAUUGUCCGAGUUGUAAACUAGAGAAGUGUUAUCCGCGCUGGACCGUGUAAAAGUCUCCUGGAAUGGAGCAUCAUAGAGGGUGAGAAUCCCGUCUUUGACAUGGACUACCAGUGCUUUGUGAUGCGCUCUCAAAGAGUCGAGUUGUUUGGGAAUGCAGCUCAAAAUGGGUGGUAAAUUCCAUCUAAAGCUAAAUAUUGGCGAGAGACCGAUAGCGAACAAGUACCGUGAGGGAAAGAUGAAAAGAACUUUGGAAAGAGAGUUAAACAGUACGUGAAAUUGCUGAAAGGGAAACGCUUGAAGUCAGUCGCGUCGGCCAGGAAUCAACCUUGCUUUUGCUGGGCGUACUUUCUGGUUGACGGGUCAGCAUCAAUUUUGACUGCUGGAAAAAGUUCAAGGGAAUGUGGCAUCUUCGGAUGUGUUAUAGCCCUUGUUCGCAUACAGCAGUUGGGAUUGAGGUACUCAGCACGCCGCAAGGCCGGGUUUCGACCACGUUCGUGCUUAGGAUGCUGGCAUAAUGGCUUUAAUCGACCCGUCUUGAAACACGGACCAAGGAGUCUAACAUGCCUGCGAGUGUUUGGGUGGAAAACCCAAGCGCGCAAUGAAAGUAAAAGUUGAGAUCCCUGUCAUGGGGAGCAUCGACGCCCGGACCAGAGCUUUUGUGACGGAUCUGCGGUAGAGCAUGUAUGUUGGGACCCGAAAGAUGGUGAACUAUGCCUGAAUAGGGUGAAGCCAGAGGAAACUCUGGUGGAGGCUCGUAGCGAUUCUGACGUGCAAAUCGAUCGUCAAAUUUGGGUAUAGGGGCGAAAGACUAAUCGAA